This 253-nucleotide ribosomal RNA is filed under the name uncultured bacterium. Its description in RNAcentral is "partial 16S ribosomal RNA". It matches the Rfam family "Bacterial small subunit ribosomal RNA", at positions 524 to 776 of the family's 1533-position model. The record is from RNAcentral.
UACGUAGGGUGCGAGCGUUAAUCGGAAUUACUGGGCGUAAAGCGUGCGCAGGCGGUUUUGUAAGUCUGACGUGAAAUCCCCGGGCUCAACCUGGGAAUUGCGUUGGAAACUGGAAGGCUAGAGUGUGGCAGAGGGGGGUAGAAUUCCACGUGUAGCAGUGAAAUGCGUAGAGAUGUGGAGGAACACCGAUGGCGAAGGCAGCCCCCUGGGUUAAGACUGACGCUCAUGCACGAAAGCGUGGGGAGCAAACAGG